GGGGUGUUAUACGACCUUGUCCACCAAUGAGGGUCUCGCACAUGCAGUCGGUUUUGUUAUUUCAUUGAUAGUCUGUUAAAUUUGGCCUUACAAUGACAAUUCUCCGUAAAAUUUGGAGGCUGCCAAAUGCUAAACAAGAAAAGAAAAAAAAAGACACAAACUUAACUAUUUUGAUUCUGAUGUUUUUCAAUUCAAGAUAGUAUUAUUUACUUCGAAUUCAUUAUCAAUAAUUGAAAAUAACUGUUCUCGUCAUGAAAAAUAUUGCACAGCUGUACAACACGCCGUAGUUAUGCCUUUUGUGUAUGGAUUUCAACACCAAACCCGAUUCGGUCACCCUACGCGCCAUACAUUUUGUUAAAUUUUUCUCAUUAAUCACGGGUUCAUACGUUAAGUUUUCUCAUUCUUUAAGUUUCAUUAAAAUAACAUUUGAAUGUCAUAAAUAUGCAAUUAUAUAUUUGCCGCUGGAUGUUAAGCAGCUACCAAUACUCAUUAUUAAAUAUUGCAGGUCGUUUUGUUCCGAAUUGUGUUAUUGGUAAAAUGUUUUUCAAUAUGUUAC
RNAcentral lists this long non-coding RNA (556 nucleotides) under Mytilus galloprovincialis (Mediterranean mussel). Lineage: Eukaryota; Metazoa; Mollusca; Bivalvia; Mytilida; Mytilidae. The record is from RNAcentral.